RNAcentral lists this microRNA precursor (59 nucleotides) under Marmota monax (woodchuck). It matches the Rfam family "mir-30 microRNA precursor family", at positions 9 to 69 of the family's 77-position model. From Rfam's summary of the family: This family consists of the mammalian microRNA (miRNA) precursor mir-30a. Animal miRNAs are transcribed as ~70nt precursors and subsequently processed by the Dicer enzyme to give a ~22nt product. Lineage: Eukaryota; Metazoa; Chordata; Mammalia; Rodentia; Sciuridae. The record is from RNAcentral.
UGUAAACAUCCUACACUCUCAGCUGUGAGCUCAAGUUGGCUGGGAGAAGGUUGUUUACU